This 496-nucleotide ribosomal RNA is filed under the name uncultured bacterium. Its description in RNAcentral is "bacterial SSU rRNA". It matches the Rfam family "Bacterial small subunit ribosomal RNA", at positions 29 to 518 of the family's 1533-position model. The record is from RNAcentral.
AUGAACGCUAGCGGCAGGCUUAACACAUGCAAGUCGAGGGGCAUCGGGAGUAGCAAUACUUGCCGGCGACCGGCGCAAGGGUGCGUAACGCGUGAGCAACAUGCCCGUAUCAGGGGGAUAAUCCAUGGAAACGUGGUCUAAUACCCCAUAGUAAUUAUGUAAGGCAUCUUAUAUAAUUUAAAGCUUUGGUGGAUACGGAUUGGCUCGCGUGACAUUAGCUGGAUGGUAAGGUAACGGCUUACCAUGGCUACGAUGUCUAGGGGUUCUGAGAGGAAGGUCCCCCACACUGGAACUGAGACACGGUCCAGACUCCUACGGGAGGCAGCAGUGAGGAAUAUUGGACAAUGGAUGGAAAUCUGAUCCAGCCAUGCCGCGUGCAGGAAGAACCGGCCCUAUGGGUUGUAAACUGCUUUUGUAUGGGAGCAAUAAGGGCUACGUGUAGUCCGAUGAGAGUACCAUACGAAUAAGCACCGGCUAACUCCGUGCCAGCAGCUGC